GCCGCAGUCGCAUAACCCGGUAUUGCGCAGGAUUGCUAAUCCUGUUUCCGCAAGGAUAUCCCGGUUCAAAUCCGGGCUGCGGCG
Molecule: transfer RNA, 84 nt
Filed under: Candidatus Woesearchaeota archaeon
Lineage: Archaea; Nanobdellati; Candidatus Woesearchaeota
Description: tRNA-Ser
Rfam family: tRNA
About the family: Transfer RNA (tRNA) molecules are approximately 80 nucleotides in length. Their secondary structure includes four short double-helical elements and three loops (D, anti-codon, and T loops).
Source: RNAcentral